CUACGGAGGGUGCAAGCGUUAUUCGGAAUCACUGGGCGUAAAGGACGCGUAGGCGGGUUGGCAAGUCAGAUGUGAAAUCCUACAGCUUAACUGUAGAACUGCAUUUGAAACUGCUAACCUAGAGUAUGGGAGGGGGAGAUGGAAUUAGUGGUGUAGGUGUAAAAUCCGUAGAUAUCACUAGGAAUACCGAAAGCGAAGGCGAUCUCCUGGAACAUAACUGACGCUAAGGCGUGAAAGCGUGGGGAGCAAACAGGAUUAGAAACCCUUGUAGUCC
RNAcentral lists this ribosomal RNA (274 nucleotides) under uncultured bacterium. Its description in RNAcentral is "partial 16S ribosomal RNA". It matches the Rfam family "Bacterial small subunit ribosomal RNA", at positions 523 to 796 of the family's 1533-position model. The record is from RNAcentral.